CUCCUGCGGGAGGCAGCAGUGGGGAAUUUUGGACAAUGGGCGAAAGCCUGAUCCAGCAAUGCCGCGUGUGUGAAGAAGGCCUUCGGGUUGUAAAGCACUUUUUUCCGGAAAGAAAUCCUUGGCUCUAAUACAGUCGGGGGAUGACGGUACCGGAAGAAUAAGCACCGGCUAACUACGUGCCAGCAGCCGCGGUAAUACGUAGGGUGCGAGCGUUAAUCGGAAUUACUGGGCGUAAAGCGUGCGCAGGCGGUUUGCUAAGACCGAUGUGAAAUCCCCGGGCUCAACCUGGGAACUGCAUUGGUGACUGGCAGGCUAGAGUAUGGCAGAGGGGGGUAGAAUUCCACGUGUAGCAGUGAAAUGCGUAGAGAUGUGGAGGAAUACCGAUGGCGAAGGCAGCCCCCUGGGCCAAUACUGACGCUCAUGCACGAAAGCGUGGGGAGCAAACAGGAUUAGAAACCCUUGUAGUCCCA
RNAcentral lists this ribosomal RNA (470 nucleotides) under uncultured organism. RNAcentral describes it as "partial 16S ribosomal RNA". It matches the Rfam family "Bacterial small subunit ribosomal RNA", at positions 336 to 797 of the family's 1533-position model. The record is from RNAcentral.